GGCAGAGUGGCGCUGUGGUUGCUGCUGCUGCUUCGCGAGAAGGGGGUUCCGGGUUCGAAUCCCGGCUGGUCCC
Molecule: transfer RNA, 73 nt
Filed under: Anguilla anguilla (European eel)
Lineage: Eukaryota; Metazoa; Chordata; Actinopteri; Anguilliformes; Anguillidae
Description: tRNA-OTHER
Source: RNAcentral